Molecule: ribosomal RNA, 449 nt
Filed under: uncultured bacterium
Lineage: Bacteria
Description: partial 16S ribosomal RNA
Rfam family: Bacterial small subunit ribosomal RNA
Source: RNAcentral
AACGAACGCUGGCGGCAGGCCUAACACAUGCAAGUCGAACGCUGUAGCAAUACAGAGUGGCAGACGGGUGAGUAACGCGUGGGAAUCUUCCUAUCGGUACGGAAUAGCUCAGGGAAACUUGGGGUAAUACCGGAUGCGCCCUUCGGGGGAAAGAUUUAUCGCCGAUAGAUGAGCCCGCGUCUGAUUAGCUAGUUGGUGAGGUAAUGGCUCACCAAGGCGACGAUCAGUAGCUGGUCUGAGAGGAUGACCAGCCACACUGGGACUGAGACACGGCCCAGACUCCUACGGGAGGCAGCAGUGGGGAAUAUUGGACAAUGGGGGCAACCCUGAUCCAGCCAUGCCGCGUGAGUGACGAAGGUCUUCGGAUUGUAAAGCUCUUUUGGCGGGGACGAUAAUGACGGUACCCGCAGAAUAAGCCCCGGCUAACUUCGUGCCAGCCGCCGCAGUAA